GACUGAGACACGGCCCAGACUCCUACGGGAGGCAGCAGUAGGGAAUCUUCCGCAAUGGACGAAAGUCUGACGGAGCAACGCCGCGUGAGUGAUGAAGGUUUUCGGAUCGUAAAGCUCUGUUGUUAGGGAAGAACAAGUGCCGUUCAAAUAGGGCGGCACCUUGACGGUACCUAACCAGAAAGCCACGGCUAACUACGUGCCAGCAGCCGCGGUAAUACGUAGGUGGCAAGCGUUGUCCGGAAUUAUUGGGCGUAAAGGGCUCGCAGGCGGUUUCUUAAGUCUGAUGUGAAAGCCCCCGGCUCAACCGGGGAGGGUCAUUGGAAACUGGGGAACUUGAGUGCAGAAGAGGAGAGUGGAAUUCCACGUGUAGCGGUGAAAUGCGUAGAGAUGUGGAGGAACACCAGUGGCGAAGGCGACUCUCUGGUCUGUAACUGACGCUGAGGAGCGAAAGCGUGGGGAGCGAACAGGAUUAGAUACCCUGGUAGUCCACGCCGUAAACGAUGAGUGCUAAGUGUUAGGGGGGUUUCCGCCCCUUAGUGCUGCAGCUAACGCAUUAAGCACUCCGCCUGGGGAGUACGGUCGCAAGACUGAAACUCAAAGGAAUUGACGGGGGCCCGCACAAGCGGUGGAGCAUGUGGUUUAAUUCGAAGCAACGCGAAGAACCUUACCAGGUCUUGACAUCCUCUGACAAUCCUAGAGAUAGGACGUCCCCUUCGGGGGCAGAGUGACAGGUGGUGCAUGGUUGUCGUCAGCUCGUGUCGUGAGAUGUUGGGUUAAGUCCCGCAACGAGCGCAACCCUUGAUCUUAGUUGCCAGCAUUCAGUUGGGCACUCUAAGGUGACUGCCGGUGACAAACCGGAGGAAGGUGGGGAUGACGUCAAAUCAUCAUGCCCCUUAUGACCUGGGCUACACACGUGCUACAAUGGA
This 926-nucleotide ribosomal RNA is filed under the name Bacillus amyloliquefaciens. RNAcentral describes it as "bacterial SSU rRNA". It matches the Rfam family "Bacterial small subunit ribosomal RNA", at positions 317 to 1234 of the family's 1533-position model. Lineage: Bacteria; Bacillati; Bacillota; Bacilli; Caryophanales; Bacillaceae. The record is from RNAcentral.